Molecule: ribosomal RNA, 498 nt
Filed under: uncultured Glomeromycotina
Lineage: Eukaryota; Fungi; Glomeromycota
Description: partial small subunit ribosomal RNA
Rfam family: Eukaryotic small subunit ribosomal RNA
Source: RNAcentral
CCAAUAGCGUAUAUUAAAGUUGUUGCAGUUAAAAAGCUCGUAGUUGAAUUUCGAGACCGGCUUAUUGGUCGUGCUUUUGUACGUACUGGUAAAUCGGUUUCUCCUUUCUGACGAACUUUAAUGCCAUUAAUUUGGUGUUUUAGGGAAUCAGGACUGUUACUUUGAAAAAAUUAGAGUGUUUAAAGCAGGCUCACGCUUGAAUACAUUAGCAUGGAAUAACGGAAUAGGACGUUUGAUUCUAUUUUGUUGGUUUCUAGGAUCGACGUAAUGAUUAAUAGGGAUAGUUGGGGGCAUUAGUAUUCAAUUGUCAGAGGUGAAAUUCUUGGAUUUAUUGAAGACUAACUACUGCGAAAGCAUUUGCCAAGGAUGUUUUCAUUAAUCAAGAACGAAAGUUAGGGGAUCGAAGACGAUCAGAUACCGUCGUAGUCUUAACCAUAAACUAUGCCGACUAGGGAUCGGAUGAUGUUAAUUUUUUAAUGACUCAUUCGGCGCCUUACG